Molecule: long non-coding RNA, 311 nt
Organism: Antechinus flavipes (yellow-footed antechinus)
Lineage: Eukaryota; Metazoa; Chordata; Mammalia; Dasyuromorphia; Dasyuridae
Exons: 3
Source: RefSeq, a predicted model, not a curated record
ACAGCUCGAGACUCCUAUUACAAAACGGAUCUUGAAUUUGAGAAGGCUUUGAAAGGAGACGAUUUUGUUGCUCAGUGGGAUAUAGCAAGAGGAUCAGCAUUCACUAUAGAAAAACAAUCUGAGACCAAAGAAACACUCAAACAACUGAAUCAGCCCAGCUCAUCCUUGGCUACGGAAAAGAUGCAAAGAAAGGAUCUAGCAAGAAGAAUUUCAUUCAAAAAAAAGAGGAAAUUUAGAACAAAUGAGGACGACUCAGAAUCAACACUGGCCAAGAAACAAAGUAUCUUCUCUAUGGAACUGUAUACUAUGCC